This 429-nucleotide ribosomal RNA is filed under the name Chloroflexota bacterium. Its description in RNAcentral is "Chloroflexi bacterium partial 16S ribosomal RNA". It matches the Rfam family "Bacterial small subunit ribosomal RNA", at positions 355 to 776 of the family's 1533-position model. The record is from RNAcentral. Lineage: Bacteria; Bacillati; Chloroflexota.
UGGGGAAUAUUGCACAAUGGGCGCAAGCCUGAUGCAGCCAUGCCGCGUGUGUGAAGAAGGCCUUCGGGUUGUAAAGCACUUUCAGCGGGGAGGAAGGCGGUGAGGUUAAUAACCUCAUCGAUUGACGUUACCCGCAGAAGAAGCACCGGCUAACUCCGUGCCAGCAGCCGCGGUAAUACGGAGGGUGCAAGCGUUAAUCGGAAUUACUGGGCGUAAAGCGCACGCAGGCGGUCUGUCAAGUCGGAUGUGAAAUCCCCGGGCUCAACCUGGGAGCUGCAUUCGAAACUGGCAGGAUAGAGUCUUGUAGAGGGGGGUAGAAUUCCAGGUGUAGCGGUGAAAUGCGUAGAGAUCUGGAGGAAUACCGGUGGCGAAGGCGGCCCCCUGGACAAAGACUGACGCUCAGGUGCGAAAGCGUGGGGAGCAAACAGG